ACAGUAAGAGCUUGCUCUUACGGGUGGCGAGUGGCGGACGGGUGAGGAAUGCAUCGGAAUCUACUCUGUCGUGGGGGAUAACGUAGGGAAACUUACGCUAAUACCGCAUACGACCUACGGGUGAAAGCAGGGGAUCUUCGGACCUUGCGCGAUUGAAUGAGCCGAUGCCCGAUUAGCUAGUUGGCGGGGUAAGAGCCCACCAAGGCGACGAUCGGUAGCUGGUCUGAGAGGAUGAUCAGCCACACUGGAACUGAGACACGGUCCAGACUCCUACGGGAGGCAGCAGUGGGGAAUAUUGGACAAUGGGCGCAAGCCUGAUCCAGCCAUACCGCGUGGGUGAAGAAGGCCUUCGGGUUGUAAAGCCCUUUUGUUGGGAAAGAAAAGCAUUCGGUUAAUACCCGAUUGUUCUGACGGUACCCAAAGAAUAAGCACCGGCUAACUUCGUGCCAGCAGCCGCGGUAAUACGAAGGGUGCAAGCGUUACUCGGAAUUACUGGGCGUAAAGCGUGCGUAGGUGGUUGUUUAAGUCUGUCGUGAAAGCCCUGGGCUCAACCUGGGAAUUGCGAUGGAA
Molecule: ribosomal RNA, 570 nt
Filed under: bacterium RBM-D13
Lineage: Bacteria
Description: bacterial SSU rRNA
Rfam family: Bacterial small subunit ribosomal RNA
Source: RNAcentral